Molecule: long non-coding RNA, 641 nt
Filed under: Vigna radiata
Lineage: Eukaryota; Viridiplantae; Streptophyta; Magnoliopsida; Fabales; Fabaceae
Description: long non-coding RNA (VRAD_LNC007758)
Source: RNAcentral
GGGUAAUAAUGGAAUAGAAUGUAUGAGGAGUGGGUAAAAACGGAACAAGGAGGAAUGAAUGUAUGAAUAAUAAUAACGUAGGGAUGCAUAAAGUUUAGGUUUAAACCUCUUUUUGGUCCCUAAGUUAUGAGCGGAUGUUCAGUUUAGUCCCCGCUUUUAAAAAUGUAAACCUUUGAUUCCUAAGUUAUAAAAAAUGUAUCAAAUGAGUCCUUUUUUUAUGUUCAUGGUCAAAGUACAAAGAGCAAUCUAAAGUGCUGUUAUUAUUAAGAAACAAAUCAGAACAAUCUAAAGAUAUAGCAGUUGUUAAGAAACAACCAAAAACAAUAUUUCAAGUCAAAAAAUGACUCAUUUGAUACAUUUUUUAUAACUUAGGGACAAAAGAUUUACAUUUUUAAAAACGGGGACUAAACUGAACAUCCGCUUAUAACUUAGGGACCAAAAAGAGGUUUAAACCUAAAGUUUAUUAGGUGUCAAUAAUCUUGUGGUGUAAAAGGUAAAUGUGAGGUAAGGAGAAAAGUGAAAUGUGCUUAGCACAUAUCCAAUCUAUUCUUCUCGAUAAACUAUUUUUUAUUAUUAUUUAAUUUUAUUAUAUUUUUUAUUUUUCUUUACUCAUUCUUCUAUCCAUACCACUAAGAUUUAUC